This is a long non-coding RNA of Nymphaea colorata (pocket water lily), 225 nucleotides long. RefSeq lists it as uncharacterized. The record is from RefSeq and is a predicted model, not a curated record. Lineage: Eukaryota; Viridiplantae; Streptophyta; Magnoliopsida; Nymphaeales; Nymphaeaceae. The transcript is spliced from 3 exons.
GAAGAACCUGCACGUGUGAAGAAGAACUUGCUCGAUGGGAUUCCAACGAAGAACUUCGACAAGAGCCCCGUGUGCGAGGGAACGAGCUCAGCGAGCUGAUGAGGGUCUUCGACACGUUCUUAGUUCUUAGUUGGAUCUCUUAGAACAGUUGACGUCAAGCAGCUCCACAGACAUGGGUUACGUUAGUGAUGGGGAAGUGGAGAAGGCAACGAUACGUGAGCAGCU